RNAcentral lists this ribosomal RNA (906 nucleotides) under Monothalamids sp. RNAcentral describes it as "SSU rRNA". It matches the Rfam family "Eukaryotic small subunit ribosomal RNA", at positions 1160 to 1677 of the family's 1831-position model. The record is from RNAcentral. Lineage: Eukaryota; Foraminifera.
AAGGGCACCACAAGAACGCGUGGAGCAUGUGGCUUAAUUUGACUCAACGCGGGGAAUCUUACCGGGUCCGGACACACUGAGGAUUGACAGGUGCAAGGAGCCUUGGCUCUGUAAAUUUGCUAGUCCUUUCAUGAUUGUGUGAUAGGUGGUGCAUGGCCGUUCUUAGUUCGUGGAAUAAUCUGUCUGCUUAAUUGCGUUUUUUCAAUUGUGCCUUGAUGCCCAAUACGCCAAUCCGCGCUUGUUCACAGCUUAUGCCCUCGUGUGUGCAUUUCACUUCGGUGUCUUGCAUCGCGUUGUCUUGCUUGGGCAGGUCGGUGAGGUGGGUUUUCAGGGCCUUCUGGAACGAACGAGACCCCAACCCUUCUUUUUCAAUGUCAUACAACUUAUUUGUUGUUACUUUAUUUUGUCUUUCGGUCCUGUGAUGAAUACCUUUCGGGGUGGAUUUGCAGGUUAUUGGAUUUCAAUUUUACGACACUGUUAACAGAAGGGGACUGUUGCACUCAAUGCAAAGGAAGGUUGGGGCAAUAACAGGUCUGUGAUGCCCUUAGAUGUUCCGGGCUGCACACGUGCUACAAUGAUCUAUGCACUAAGCUUCUUUUAGUUCCGUAAUGUGCAUCGAGGCAUUCUCUCCUUGUGGGAGGUGUUCUUGUAUGACAUAUAUGCGGCAGACCUACUUCGAGAGCUAGUAGGUAAUCACUUGGUAAUAUAGAUUUCCUUUGCAUUUGCAGCAUCAUAGGUCCUACUUUUGUUAGGUCUCUUUUGGUGUUGCGUGUUUUCAUUUUAUGACUUCUUAGUGGGGACAGACCAUUGUUAAUUGUUGGUCUCGCUUUAACUAGGAAUGCCUUGUACAGGUGGUUCAACAGACCGCCUGGAAUACGUCCCUGCCCUUUGUACACACCGCCCGUC